Molecule: small nucleolar RNA, 126 nt
Organism: Cavia aperea (Brazilian guinea pig)
Lineage: Eukaryota; Metazoa; Chordata; Mammalia; Rodentia; Caviidae
Source: Ensembl
GGGGUGUGCUCGGAGGAAGUGGCCUGAAGAAAGGCUUUGUUUAUGAUACACCCAAUAGGAAUCUAGAGUCACUGUGACAAGGGGCACAGAACUCGUAACUUCUCUUUGAGCAAAUGUCCUACACGU